UCCUUCAAAUGCGGUCGACGAAUGCGGCCUUCUUUUCGCCUGAAUGAAGGAUGGGUCGGGUGUAUCCUUCAAUAGGUAGCAUUUCCCAAGAUGCCUUGCGGGCCGGCUGGCAGAAAAACUUAAAAACAAUGGCGGACAGUGAAUCGGGAGCUGUCGGAGAGGAUUGCGCAUAUAAAUGACCAAAAGAGAAAACCAGGGAAUUUAUUAAGCUUAGGGCGGAGAUGGACCACAUGAUCACCGGAGCAAAGUAUUCGGCGGCUGUGGCAUGGAGACUAUUCUGGAGAAAAUGGGCAUCCAGGGGAAGGUGCCAGCGAUGAGCUUCUGGAGCUGAUCUGGGAGGACAUGAGGCUGCAGAGCAGCAGAGAGCACAGGAGAGAAGGAAGAACUUUGACAGCUUUUUACUUUGCUAGAAAAAAAUGGUUAAUGAAGAUUAAACAUGUACAUAUAAAAGAAAUAUCUAAAUAAAAUCAGUUCUGCAUUAAA
Nothobranchius furzeri (turquoise killifish) is the source of this 483-nucleotide non-coding RNA. Lineage: Eukaryota; Metazoa; Chordata; Actinopteri; Cyprinodontiformes; Nothobranchiidae. The record is from RefSeq and is a predicted model, not a curated record.